RNAcentral lists this unclassified non-coding RNA (1460 nucleotides) under Hevea brasiliensis (rubber tree). Lineage: Eukaryota; Viridiplantae; Streptophyta; Magnoliopsida; Malpighiales; Euphorbiaceae. The record is from RNAcentral.
UGCUCUAGGGCAUACUACUAACAGCAAUGCCAUAUUAGCAACUACGUUUUUGAACACCAUACUUACCCAGCUGACAUAACUAGAGAGAAAUCAGAUGGUAAACUGAGUUUUGAAUGCCGAAGACCUUAAUCAGCUUUUUCUGAAUAAUAAUUGGUUAUAUUUUGAGUCCUAUUAUGGAAAUGACUUGAAAUGAAAGGAAUCAGUUACAAUUUUAUUCUUUCUCAUUUUCAUGAAUGACUAGUUGAGCUCUUAAAUGUUUCAAGAGUUUGUAACUUCUGAUUUUUAUCUUGCUUUUGCCUUGUAAUAGCAUAAAGGCUCUUGGGCAGCACCAGUGUUGACCUUGAUAUACUUUCUCACAUGCAUGGUUUCAUGCCUGAACUAACAUAUAUAAAUGGUAAUUUGCAUUGCUUUCAUUUUUUUAUUGACCUUGGUGCUGUUUCUUCAUGAUGUAUGUAUUAUCAGUGCAGGUUGGGCUUCAAUUUUUGUGUUCAGAAAAUCCAACAAGGUGAUGGCAUGUUUGGGCUGAGGGGCAAGAUGAAGUGCUUUGUGCAUGCACACUGAAGGACAGAAAUUUUGCUAAUGGAAGUGGAGACAUCUUUAUCUGUUUUGGUGAAUAACUAGAGGUAUGCAUUUUGUUUUGUGAAUCAAUUGCUUGCUUUCUUGGUGGGACAUUGUGCCCGAGUAAUCCUUCUAUCAAGAAUGUACAUUCAAUGUAUCCUCAGUGGUUCUGUUCAUUUUAGCUUGCACUUGUAGCCCAGCAUGAUGAAGACAAAAAAACUGUGGAUGUCUAGGAACUGUAGAAAACUAGUUAUUCGGACUUGGCAAAUUAAACUUAUUCUAUCUGCUGUGCCGGCAGACGGGUGAAAUUUAACGGUAGGUUUAAUAGUUAAUGUUAUUAGCUAGUCCUGUAGGCGCAAGAGGGACAAUGUGCCUAAAUCCAAUACAGAGCUUGGUUAAGAGUCCCUAAGACAAUUCUCAUACAAAUUGUAUUUAUGUACAAAAUACAAAGCAUUGCAGGGUCGGAACCAUUCUUUGCAGUUGCUCCUUGGUACUCUUCCUUCCGAGUGCACGUACCCCUUAUGUUACCUAAGGUACUCCACAUCAAUGGAAUACCCUUUCUAAGUAAAAACUUUGCUGUUGAAGAUCUAAUUAAUGAAAGAUCGAGGACGCAUAUUGCUGUAUUAACACCCUGCCCAUGGCAAUGCUAUGGGACAAGGACGGACCUCUGUGCCAGAAGGCUCCAACCCUAAGCGUGGUCUAUUAUAGGCAGCCUUCCCCCCUAAUUUUCGGAGAGACCGAGCAAAAUAUAGGCUCCAAGGAGGAUGCCAAGCUACUAUUGGUGUUCUAAACGUUUGGGAUGAAAUUAACCUUUUUAUCGAAAAAAGAUGUCAUGAUUCAUUAAGAACCUAACAUUUCUAACAGUUUGUAACCCUAUUACUUUGUGGGAAAUAUAGUUUUUC